Molecule: ribosomal RNA, 253 nt
Filed under: uncultured bacterium
Lineage: Bacteria
Description: partial 16S ribosomal RNA
Rfam family: Bacterial small subunit ribosomal RNA
Source: RNAcentral
UACGAAGGGGGCAAGCGUUAUUCGGAAUUACUGGGCGUAAAGAGCUCGUAGGCGGUCUGUCGCGUCGGCUGUGAAAACCCGGAGCUCAACUCCGGGCCUGCAGUCGAUACGGGCAGACUGGAGUUCGGCAGGGGAGACUGGAAUUCCUGGUGUAGCGGUGAAAUGCGUAGAUAUCGGGAGGAACACCUGCGGUGUAGACGGCUUUCUGGACCAUUGUUGACGCUGAGACACGAAAGCGUGGGUAGCAAACAGG